UACAGAGGGGGCAAGCGUUGUCCGGAUUCAUUGGGCGUAAAGAGCGUGUAGGCGGCCAGGUAGGUCGGUUGUGAAAACUGGAGGCUCAACCUUCAGAGGUCGACCGAAACCAUCUGGCUAGAGCAUUGGAGAGGGUAGCAGAAUUCAUGGUGUAGCAGUGAAAUGCGUAGAUAUCAUGAGGAAUACCAGAGGCGAAGGCGGCUACCUGGACAAUUGCUGACGCUCAGGCACGAAAGCGUGGGGAGCAAAAGGG
This 253-nucleotide ribosomal RNA is filed under the name uncultured bacterium. Its description in RNAcentral is "partial 16S ribosomal RNA". It matches the Rfam family "Bacterial small subunit ribosomal RNA", at positions 524 to 776 of the family's 1533-position model. The record is from RNAcentral.